GUGCUUGCUUCGGCAGCACAUACACUAAAAUUGGAAUGAUACAGAGAAGAUUAGCAUGGCUCCUGCACAAGGAUGACACGCAAAUUCGUGAAGUGUUCUAUAUUAUU
Small nuclear RNA from Otolemur garnettii (small-eared galago), 107 nucleotides. Lineage: Eukaryota; Metazoa; Chordata; Mammalia; Primates; Galagidae. The record is from Ensembl.